UACAGAGGUCUCAAGCGUUGUUCGGAUUCAUUGGGCGUAAAGGGUGCGUAGGUGGCGCUGUAAGUCGGGUGUGAAAUUUCGGAGCUUAACUCCGAAACUGCAUUCGAUACUGCGGUGCUUUGAGGACUGGAGAGGAGACUGGAAUUCAUGGUGUAGCAGUGAAAUGCGUAGAGAUCAUGAGGAAGACCAGUGGCGAAGGCGGGUCUCUGGACCAGCACUGACACUGAGGCACGAAAGCGUGGGGAGCAAACAGG
RNAcentral lists this ribosomal RNA (254 nucleotides) under uncultured bacterium. Its description in RNAcentral is "partial 16S ribosomal RNA". It matches the Rfam family "Bacterial small subunit ribosomal RNA", at positions 524 to 776 of the family's 1533-position model. The record is from RNAcentral.